AACGAACGCUGGCGGCAUGCCUAACACAUGCCAGUCGAACGAGACCUUCGGGUCUAGUGGCGCACGGGUGCGUAACGCGUGGGAACCUGCCCUUAGGUUCGGAAUAACUCCCCGAAAGGGGUGCUAUACCGGGAAAUGGUCUCGGACCAAAGAUUUUUCGCCUUUGGAUGGGCCCGCGUUGGAUUAGCUAGUUGGUAGGGUAAAAGCCUACCAAGGCGACGAUCCAUAGCUGGUCUGAGAGGAUGAUCAGCCACACUGGGACUGAGACACGGCCCAGACUCCUACGGGAGGCAGCAGUGGGGAAUAUUGGACAAUGGGCGAAAGCCUGAUCCAGCAAUGCCGCGUGAGUGAUGAAGGCCUUAGGGUUGUAAAGCUCUUUUACCCGGGAUGAUAAUGACAGUACCGGGAGAAUAAGCUCCGGCUAACUCCGUG
Molecule: ribosomal RNA, 432 nt
Filed under: uncultured bacterium
Lineage: Bacteria
Description: partial 16S ribosomal RNA
Rfam family: Bacterial small subunit ribosomal RNA
Source: RNAcentral